This 918-nucleotide long non-coding RNA is filed under the name Heterocephalus glaber (naked mole-rat). RNAcentral describes it as "lncRNA (ENSHGLG00100048601.1)". The record is from RNAcentral. Lineage: Eukaryota; Metazoa; Chordata; Mammalia; Rodentia; Bathyergidae.
AGUUUUCCAGAAAGGGAGUGUUUCCCGUCUGUCGCCAGUGGGCGGAGCAUAAUGUGCAGUUCUGACUUUUGAGACCCUCUGAAAAUAGGCAUCUGUCCAGGCACAAUCUCUGCUGUUAUUGGAGUCACUUUUCUAGAUAAACCAGCCUCACUUGAACUGUCUGAAGAAAAAUACUACCACAAAGAAGAAAGCUACUCCUGUGAACACCUGGAAGACCUGAGGUUCCUCUUCAAAAAAACUCUAGUAAUGCUCUAGCAGGCGGUGAAACAACUGAGCUAAAUCCCCGGCCCAACAGAUUCUUUUUUCUUCAACCCAGCCAAUGAGGACAAUAACCCAAGGUAGGUGGAGAGCAAAUAAUCCCUCGGAGAUAGGAUCUGUAGCCCCUUUGAGGAGGAAGUAGCUAUAUAAAGAUGGAGACCUCUACUCAACAACUCAUAAAGAAUUAUGGGAAUAUGUGUCUUUCAGGGGGAAAUGAGGCAGGUGACUAGGGAAUGACAAAGCUGACUGGACAAGUAGGCAUAACCUGUUAAUUACAAAAUCCCAAGCACAGGACAGUUUCCAAAGCCCUUCAAGUGAAUGUCCCAUGAGAACUCAAUCAGAUUUUCAAAUGGAUGGCCUAAACCUGAUGCCAUCCUGAGAAGGGGCAAAUACAGAACGACAGUUGACAUUGAAUUUUUUGUUACUGUGUUCUUUCAUGAUAACCUACUCUCAUCCUGUAGAGUGUAUUUAUUUUCCUAUUUUCAUUGGCCCAAUUUCACUCUGCAGAACUUGGCUCUUUUCCCCCUACCUGUAAUAAAUGUAAAAAAAAACCCAUAAUGAACAACUGAAACUCACACUCAGCCCAAGGGUUAGACUAGUAUCAAUAAAUUGUGUCUCCCUAUGUGUUGUUCUCAUGGUCUGAGCGCCCCUUUUGAAUUU